RNAcentral lists this ribosomal RNA (1884 nucleotides) under human gut metagenome. RNAcentral describes it as "bacterial LSU rRNA". It matches the Rfam family "Bacterial large subunit ribosomal RNA", at positions 3 to 1980 of the family's 2925-position model. The record is from RNAcentral.
UCAAGCGAACAAGGGCGCAGGGCGAAUGCCUUGGCACUGGGAGCCGAUGAAAGACGUGAUAAGCUGCGAUAAGCUUCGGGGAGCUGCAAAUAAGCAUUGAUCCGGAGAUUUCUGAAUGAGGAAACUCACCUGGGUUCAUACUCAGGUACGUUAUACUGAACUUUAAAAUAGGUAUAUCGAGGGAACCGCCUGAACUGAAACAUCUAAGUAGGGCGAGGAAGAGACAUCAAACGAGAUUCCGUAAGUAGUGGCGAGCGAACGCGGAAGAGGGCAAACCGAGAGUAGAAAUACUUUCGGGGUACGGACUGCUUUUAGGACUCAAUCUGUUAACCGAACGGCAUGGGAAGGCCGGUCAGAGAGUGUGAGAACCACGUAGGUGAAAACGGAGAGAGCUGCGCAGAUUCCAGAGUACGGCCAGACACGUGAAACCUGGUCGGAAGAUGGGGGGACCACCCUCCAACCCUAAAUACUACCCAGUGACCGAUAGCGUAUAGUACUGUGAAGGAAAGGUGAAAAGCACCCCGGGAGGGGAGUGAAAAAGAACCUGAAACCCUGUGCCUACAAGCACCUAGAGCGCGUCAAUGCGUGAUAGGGUACUUUUUGUAGAACGGUCCGGCGAGCGAUUGUAUGCAGCAAGGUUAAGGACUUAAGGUCUGGAGCCGAAGCGAAAGCGAGUUUGAAAAGGGCGUUAAGUUGCAUAUAAUGGGCCCGAAACCGGGUGACCUACCCAUGGUCAGGUUGAAGUGGAAGUAAAAUUCCAUGGAGGACCGAACCGACCUCCGUUGAAAAGGCGGCGGAUGAACUGUGGGUAGCGGAGAAAUUCCAAUCGAACCCGGAGAUAGCUGGUUCUCCCCGAAAUAGUUUUAGGACUAGCCUCAAGUUAGAUACCUGGAGGUAAAGCACUGAAUAGCCUAGCGGCCGAGAGGUUAGCGAAGCUUAUCAAACUCAGAAUGCCAGAGUAUUGAUGCUUGGGAGUCAGACAGUGUCAGAUAAAUGUCAUUGUCAAAAGGGAAACAGCCCAGAUCUACAGCUAAGGUCCCAAAGUCAGGUUAAGUGGAAAACGAUGUGAAGAUACGCAGACAACCAGGAUGUUGGCUCAGAAGCAGCCACUCAUUCAAAGAGUGCGUAAUAGCUCACUGGUCGAGCGUCUUUGCGCGGAGAAUUUAACGGGGCUAAACCUGACACCGAAGCUUAGGCAAUCCAGCAAUGGAUUGGGUAGGGGAGCGUUGUAUACGCGGAGAAACAGUAGCGUAAGCGGCUGUGGAGUGUAUAGAAGUGAGAAUGCCGGAAUGAGUAGCGCGAAUGCAGUGAGAAUCUGCAUGGCCGAAAGCCUCAGGUUUUUGGAGGAAGGUUCGUCCGCUCCAAGUUAGUCGGGAGCUAAGGUGAGGCCGGAAGGCGUAGCCGAUGCACAGACGGUAGAGAUUCCGUCACCACCAAAAGAGUUAAGCACAGGGACACAUUUGAAGUCUCAGAGCCGGGUGUUGGUUCCGGUAGAGAUCGAGGGAAGUUAGUACCGAAGUCUGGGAUGGAAGAUGGCGAGAAAAGCUGUGUGUAUUUCUGAGGUGCCCGUACCGCAAACCGACACAGGUAGGUAGGAAGAAGAUUCUAAGGCCAACGGGAGAAGGGUUGUUAAGGAACUCGGCAAAUUGACCCCGUAACUUCGGGAGAAGGGGUGCUCCAGAGAUGGAGCCGCAGAGAAUCGGCCCAAGCAACUGUUUACCAAAAACACAGGUUUGUGCUAAAUCGAAAGAUGACGUAUACGAGCUGACGCCUGCCCGGUGCUGGAAGGUUAAGAGGAGAUGUGCAAGCAUUGAAUCGAAGCCCCAGUGAACGGCGGCCGUAACUAUAACGGUCCUAAGGUAGCGAAAUUCCUUGUCAGGUAAG